AAAGGGGCGGGGCGCGCCCAAAGUCUGGCGGAAGAGCGUUACCCUGGCAACCCUCCCGCGGAGGCCGAGAGAGGCCACCGGCCCUUUGUUGAUCUGCGAGAAAUCAAACUACGAACACGACAAGCAUUAGCCUGCAGCUCGAGGAGACAAGGAAUAAAUCCAACUUGAUCAUAACAUCCAACUCCUGAACUGACAGCCACAAGUGGCACCUGAACAGGGACUUGAACAAAGAAGGUCUGCUGGAGCAGAAAAAGUGAAACUGACCAGAUGAAUGAGAAACCCUGGGAUGAGUCUGCCUGCAGAGGAUAUAAGGAGAUGGAUAAACCGUGUGAGUGCCCUCAAGUUGUGUGCGACCAUGGAAUGGGAGACUGGAGGGAUACAUGGAUCCCAACUACAGGCCCAGCUCCUCCAGUAUGAGCCAUGAGCCAGUUGAAUCUGAAUGUGAAGAUGGAAUGAAGACCGACGAGAGUCACACUGACGUCAACCCUCAUAACAUGGGGUCAGAUCAAGAAAACCACACCAGAAGCUGAGAAACUGGUGUAGUGCCAGGGUCAGGCAAAAACCCCUGACUCCAUGUUUAUGGCCAUGCUAGCUGUAAUAUCCUGUGCAGUAUGAUUUUUCUGUGCAGAAGCAAAAACAUAUUGGGCAUAUUUUCCUAACCCACCGGUAGUGUGAUCAUACUCUGAAGCAGCACUCCUCCUGAGAUAUAUCAUGAUCAAGGAGCAUCAGUACCAGGACCUCUAACUCCCCCUGACACAGAGCAAUUAGACUCUCAUAACAAUGGUAUCAAUUAUACCACUCCAUUGGCUGUAAAAUCAACUGGAACACCAACCAGCAAUUGAGAGCUGAACAGCCUGCAAUUACCUUUAUUCAAUUAAAUCAAAAGCAGAAAGGGGGAGAUGUUGGAGGCUGAAAGAAUGAGGGUCAUGACCAACUCAGUAUACCACUGGAGGCUAUGUGAGCAAACAGCAAACUGUUCUCA
RNAcentral lists this long non-coding RNA (982 nucleotides) under Homo sapiens (human). Its description in RNAcentral is "long non-coding RNA NONHSAT172929.1". The record is from RNAcentral. Lineage: Eukaryota; Metazoa; Chordata; Mammalia; Primates; Hominidae.